This 482-nucleotide ribosomal RNA is filed under the name uncultured bacterium. RNAcentral describes it as "partial 16S ribosomal RNA". It matches the Rfam family "Bacterial small subunit ribosomal RNA", at positions 30 to 507 of the family's 1533-position model. The record is from RNAcentral.
AUUGAACGCUGGCGGCAUGCUUUACACAUGCAAGUCGAACGGCAGCGCGGGGCAACCUGGCGGCGAGUGGCGAACGGGUGAGUAAUAUAUCGGAACGUACCCAGAAGUGGGGGAUAACGUAGCGAAAGUUACGCUAAUACCGCAUACGAUCUACGGAUGAAAGUAGGGGACCGCAAGGCCUUAUGCUUUUGGAUCGGCCGAUAUCUGAUUAGCUAGUUGGUGAGGUAAAGGCUCACCAAGGCGACGAUCAGUAGCUGGUCUGAGAGGACGACCAGCAACACUGGAACUGAGACACGGUCCAGACUCCUACGGGAGGCAGCAGUGGGGAAUUUUGGACAAUGGGCGCAAGCCUGAUCCAGCACUGCCGCGUGAGUGAAGAAGGCCUUCGGGUUGUAAAGCUCUUUUGUCAGGGAAGAAACGGUAGAGGCUAAUAUCCUUUGCUAAUGACGGUACCUGAAGAAUAAGCACCGGCUAACUACGUG